Molecule: ribosomal RNA, 311 nt
Filed under: uncultured bacterium
Lineage: Bacteria
Description: bacterial SSU rRNA
Rfam family: Bacterial small subunit ribosomal RNA
Source: RNAcentral
GAUGAACGCUAGCGGCAGGCCUAAUACAUGCAAGUCAAGGGGCUCGCAAGAGCACCGGCGGACGGGUGCGUAACGCGUACACAACGUACCUCAGAGCGGGGGAUAGCAUUGGGAAACUGGUGGUAAAACCCCAUGGUGUUGCUGAAUGGCAUCAUUUAGCAACUAAAGUUUACACUUUGAGAUCGGUGUGCGUCUGAUUAGCUAGUUGGCGGGGUAACGGCCCACCAAGGCGACGAUCAGUAGGGGGGUGUGAGAGCAUGACCCCCCACAUGGGUACGUGAGACACGGCCCGACGACUCCGUACGGGAGGC